GAUGAAGAACGCAGCGAAAUGCGAUAAGUAAUGUGAAUUGCAGAAUUCAGUGAAUCAUCGAAUCUUUGAACGCACAUUGCGCCCCCCAGUAUUCUGGCGGGCAUGCCUGUUCGAGCGUCAUUUCAACCAUCAAGCCCUGCUUGUGUUGGGGUCCUGCGGCUGCCCGCAGGCCCUGAAAACCAGUGGCGGGCUCGCUAGUCACACCGAGCGCAGUAGCACAUCUCGCUCAGGGCGUGCGGCGGGCUCCAGCCGUUAAAGCACCCACCUUUCGCAAGGUUGGCCUCGGAUCAGGUAGGAAUACCCGCUGAACUUAAGCAUAUCAAUAAGCGGAGGA
This 334-nucleotide unclassified non-coding RNA is filed under the name soil metagenome. RNAcentral describes it as "partial contains 5.8S ribosomal RNA, internal transcribed spacer 2, and large subunit ribosomal RNA". The stretch from base 1 to 120 matches the Rfam family "5.8S ribosomal RNA", at positions 35 to 154 of the family's 154-position model. The record is from RNAcentral.